RNAcentral lists this ribosomal RNA (492 nucleotides) under uncultured bacterium. Its description in RNAcentral is "partial 16S ribosomal RNA". It matches the Rfam family "Bacterial small subunit ribosomal RNA", at positions 29 to 507 of the family's 1533-position model. The record is from RNAcentral.
AGUGAACGCUGGCGGUAGGCCUAACACAUGCAAGUCGAACGGCAGCACAGUAAGAGCUUGCUCUUACGGGUGGCGAGUGGCGGACGGGUGAGGAAUACAUCGGAAUCUACUUUUUCGUGGGGGAUAACGUAGGGAAACUUACGCUAAUACCGCAUACGACCUACGGGUGAAAGCAGGGGAUCUUCGGACCUUGCGCGAUUGAAUGAGCCGAUGUCGGAUUAGCUAGUUGGCGGGGUAAAGGCCCACCAAGGCGACGAUCCGUAGCUGGUCUGAGAGGAUGGUAAGCCACACUGGAACUGAGACACGGUCCAUACUCCUACGGGAGGCAGCAGUGGGGAAUAUUGGACAAUGGGCGCAAGCCUGAUCCAGCCAUACCGCGUGGGUGAAGAAGGCCUUCGGGUUGUAAAGCCCUUUUGUUGGGAAAGAAAAGCAGCAGGUUAAUACCCCGCUGUUCUGACGGUACCCAAAGAAUAAGCACCGGCUAACUUCGUG